AACGUAGGACGCAAGCGUUAUCCGGAGUUACUGGGCGUAAAGCGCGGGCAGGCGGCUCGAUACGUCUGAUGUGAAAUCUCCUCGCUCAACGGGGAGAGGCCAUUGGAAACGGUCGAGCUGGAGGGCAGUAGAGGUAGGCGGAAUUCCGGGUGGAGUGGUGAAAUGCGUAGAGAUCGGAAAGAACACCAACGGCGAAAGCACUCUGCUGGGCCGACACUGACACUGAGAGACGAAAGCUAGGGGAGCGAAUGGG
RNAcentral lists this ribosomal RNA (253 nucleotides) under uncultured bacterium. RNAcentral's name for it is "partial 16S ribosomal RNA". It matches the Rfam family "Bacterial small subunit ribosomal RNA", at positions 524 to 776 of the family's 1533-position model. The record is from RNAcentral.